Molecule: ribosomal RNA, 402 nt
Filed under: uncultured bacterium
Lineage: Bacteria
Description: bacterial SSU rRNA
Rfam family: Bacterial small subunit ribosomal RNA
Source: RNAcentral
AGGGAAUCUUCGGCAAUGGACGCAAGUCUGACCGAGCAACGCCGCGUGAGUGAAGAAGGUUUUCGGAUCGUAAAGCUCUGUUAUUGGGGAAGAAAACAUGACGGUACCCAAUGAGGAAGUCCCGGCUAACUACGUGCCAGCAGCCGCGGUAAUACGUAGGGGACAAGCGUUGUCCGGAAUGACUGGGCGUAACGGGCGCGUAGGCGGUCUAUUAAGUCUGAUGUGAAAGGUACCGGCUCAACCGGUGAAGUGCAUUGGAAACUGGUAGACUUGAGUAUUGGAGAGGCAAGUGGAAUUCCUAGUGUAGCGGUGAAAUGCGUAGAUAUUAGGAGGAACACCAGUGGCGAAGGCGGCUUGCUGGACAAAUACUGACGCUGAGGUGCGAAAGCGUGGGGAGCGAAC